GAUACUAAGCAGCACCUUCAUCUUUGUCAUCUAGUAGUAUAAAGACAAAAAGAUCAGUCUUGAUCUUAAGAAAAAGGAGCUUAAGAAAACUGAUCUGUACCGGGAAAUGCUUUUGAUCUAUAUUUGCCAUAAAAGGGCAAACUAGUACAUGUAAGCAUGUAUGUACAUAUGUAACUCCACACUUUCUUUACCUUGCUUACAACUUGAAAUUUGAUGAGA
Molecule: long non-coding RNA, 219 nt
Organism: Hibiscus syriacus
Lineage: Eukaryota; Viridiplantae; Streptophyta; Magnoliopsida; Malvales; Malvaceae
Exons: 5
Source: RefSeq, a predicted model, not a curated record